UACGAACCGUCCAAACGUUAUUCGGAAUUAUUGGGCUUAAAGGGUGCGUAGGCGGCGUGUUAAGUCGGGUGUGAAAUCCCACAGCUCAACUGUGGAACUGCGCCCGAUACUGGCACGCUUGAGGGAGACAGAGGUAAGCGGAACUGAUGGUGGAGCGGUGAAAUGCGUUGAUAUCAUCAGGAACACCAGUGGCGAAAGCGGCUUACUGGGUCUCUUCUGACGCUGAGGCACGAAAGCUAGGGUAGCGAAC
RNAcentral lists this ribosomal RNA (250 nucleotides) under uncultured bacterium. Its description in RNAcentral is "partial 16S ribosomal RNA". It matches the Rfam family "Bacterial small subunit ribosomal RNA", at positions 524 to 773 of the family's 1533-position model. The record is from RNAcentral.